GCGGCGGACGGGUGAGUAACACGUGGGUAACCUGCCCAUAAGACUGGGAUAACUCCGGGAAACCGGGGCUAAUACCGGAUAACAUUUUGAACCGCAUGGUUCGAAAUUGAAAGGCGGCUUCGGCUGUCACUUAUGGAUGGACCCGCGUCGCAUUAGCUAGUUGGUGAGGUAACGGCUCACCAAGGCAACGAUGCGUAGCCGACCUGAGAGGGUGAUCGGCCACACUGGGACUGAGACACGGCCCAGACUCCUACGGGAGGCAGCAGUAGGGAAUCUUCCGCAAUGGACGAAAGUCUGACGGAGCAACGCCGCGUGAGUGAUGAAGGCUUUCGGGUCGUAAAACUCUGUUGUUAGGGAAGAACAAGUGCUAGUUGAAUAAGCUGGCACCUUGACGGUACCUAACCAGAAAGCCACGGCUAACUACGUGCCAGCAGCCGCGGUAAUACGUAGGUGGCAAGCGUUAUCCGGAAUUAUUGGGCGUAAAGCGCGCGCAGGUGGUUUCUUAAGUCUGAUGUGAAAGCCCACGGCUCACCGUGGAGGGUCAUUGGAACUGGGAGACUUGAGUGCAGAAGAGAAAGUGA
Molecule: ribosomal RNA, 581 nt
Filed under: Bacillus thuringiensis
Lineage: Bacteria; Bacillati; Bacillota; Bacilli; Caryophanales; Bacillaceae
Description: bacterial SSU rRNA
Rfam family: Bacterial small subunit ribosomal RNA
Source: RNAcentral